CCUACGGGAGGCAGCAGUGAGGAAUAUUGGUCAAUGGGCGCGAGCCUGAACCAGCCAAGUAGCGUGAAGGAUGACUGCCCUACGGGUUGUAAACUUCUUUUAUAAAGGAAUAAAGUGAGGCACGUGUGCCUCUUUGCAUGUACCGUAUGAAUAAGGAUCGGCUAACUCCGUGCCAGCAGCCGCGGUAAUACGGAGGAUCCGAGCGUUAUCCGGAUUUAUUGGGGUUAAAGGGAGCGUAGGUCGGGUGUCAAGUGAGUUGUGAAAGUUCGGGGCUCAACCCUGGACUUGCAGUUGAUACUGGCGUCCUUGAGUCCGCGUGAAGUAGGCGGAAUUCGUGGUGUAGCGGUGAAAUGCUUAGAUAUCACGAAGAACUCCGAUUGCGAAGGCAGCUUACUGCAGUGCAACUGACGUUGAUGCUCGAAAGUGUGGGUAUCGAACAGGAUUAGAUACCCCUGUAGUC
RNAcentral lists this ribosomal RNA (460 nucleotides) under uncultured bacterium. Its description in RNAcentral is "partial 16S ribosomal RNA". It matches the Rfam family "Bacterial small subunit ribosomal RNA", at positions 338 to 795 of the family's 1533-position model. The record is from RNAcentral.